UCAGUCAGUAGCUGUUGUCUUUGCAGCUUCACGUUGUCUACAUGGGAGAUCGACCUCAAGAAGGUGCAUCGGUUGCUUCCAAGCAUCAAGGAAUGUUGCAUAGAGUACUCGGAAGGUUUGUUUCCAAACAUAACAUGAACCUGCUGAUGUUAUGUUAGACUAACAGUAGAAUGAAGUACAGCUAAAGUGACUAUAACCAACUAAAUUAAGUGCAAACUGGCAAGUUCUACUUAAAAAAAAUGCAAUGUAUAAGUUGAAACAAGAUUCCAUCUUCAUCUACCUUACAAAUCGAGAGGAACCUUGAUCCUCGCAAGACUCUCUGUUUCAAUGGAUUCAGUGCUUCAGCAGCUAAAGACUCGUUGGUCCAUAGUUAUGGAAGAAGUUUCAAUGGAUUUGCAGCCAAGCUCACAGACGAGGAAGCCACCAGAAUUUCAGGUGAGCUAAUUCCAAUCUCGGAGCAACGAAUCAACCAAAGAGGUUCCAAUAUAUUCAUUCUAACUAAAUAGAUUGCUGCAGAAAUGGAAGGAGUGGUUUCAGUAAAUCCAAGCCAUAAGCACAAGCUUCAUACUACAAGGUCUUGGGACUUCUUGAAACUUACCAAAGACAAACUUGCAGCAACACCGACAUCAGAUGUCGUUAUAGGCCUCCUUGACACUGGUAACUUACCUGUUUCCAUUUCAAAUGAGGAAUAUAUGAAUAUUUUUUUAUCUCAACUUCUUGCAUCCUCUGCUGUCCAUCCAUAGGAGUCUGGCCAGAGCAUCCAAGUUUCAACGACACAGGUUUCAGUUCUCCACCAGCCAAAUGGAAGGGAACCUGCACAGGCACAAAUUUCACAUGCAACAAGUAAGCAUUCUCAUUUAAAUUUAUCACAAACUUAAUUAGUGAGACAAAGAGGCAAAAAGUAUCACAGGUGAAAUUAUAGAAAAAUGUUUAGCAGGCAGAAAGUAGUAGAGUUUGUACACCAAGAAAUUUUCUUCUUUAGUUCACGAUAUAUAGGAUUGGCUAAUCAGAAUUAUCUUAACAUUAUGAGUGCAGCAAGAUCAUUGGAGCACGGUUUUAUCACAGUGACGACCAGUACUAUGAUGGAGACAUGCCCUCUCCAAGGGAUACAGAAGGACAUGGAACACACACAGCAUCAACUGCUGCCGGGGUUGAGGUAGAAGCAAGCUACUUCGGUGUAGCAGCAGGAAAAGCACGAGGAGGUGUCCC
This 1209-nucleotide long non-coding RNA is filed under the name Salvia miltiorrhiza (redroot sage). RNAcentral describes it as "long non-coding RNA (SMIL_LNC008790)". Lineage: Eukaryota; Viridiplantae; Streptophyta; Magnoliopsida; Lamiales; Lamiaceae. The record is from RNAcentral.